Molecule: ribosomal RNA, 380 nt
Filed under: uncultured eukaryote
Lineage: Eukaryota
Description: partial 18S ribosomal RNA
Rfam family: Eukaryotic small subunit ribosomal RNA
Source: RNAcentral
CAAUAGCGUAUAUUAAAGUUGUUGCAGUUAAAAAGCUCGUAGUUGGAUCUGUGGUGUGCGGUGGGCUCCGGGCACUUGUUGUCUGAGUAGCUCGCCGCCGCCAUCCUUGGGUGGAACCUGUGUGGCAUUAGGUUGUCGUGCAGGGGAUGCCCAUCGUUUACUGUGAAAAAAUUAGAGUGUUCAAAGCAGGCUUAUGCCGUUGAAUAUAUUAGCAUGGAAUAAUGAGAUAGGACUUUUUCGCUAUUUUGUUGGUUUGCGCGAAGAGGUAAUGAUUAAUAGGGACAGUUGGGGGUAUUCGUAUUCCAUUGUCAGAGGCGAAAUUCUUGGAUUUUUGGAAGACGAACUACUGCGAAAGCAUUUACCAAGGAUGUUUUCAUUAA